UACGUAGGGUGCGAGCGUUAAUCGGAAUUACUGGGCGUAAAGCGUGCGCAGGCGGUUCGUUAAGUUCGAUGUGAAAGCCCCGGGCUCAACCUGGGAAUUGCAUUGGAAACUGGCAGGCUUGAGUGUGGCAGAGGGGGGUGGAAUUCCACGUGUAGCAGUGAAAUGCGUAGAGAUGUGGAGGAACACCGAUGGCGAAGGCAGCCCCCUGGGCUAGCACUGACGCUCAGGCACGAAAGCGUGGGGAGCAAACAGG
This 253-nucleotide ribosomal RNA is filed under the name uncultured bacterium. RNAcentral describes it as "partial 16S ribosomal RNA". It matches the Rfam family "Bacterial small subunit ribosomal RNA", at positions 524 to 776 of the family's 1533-position model. The record is from RNAcentral.